RNAcentral lists this long non-coding RNA (1408 nucleotides) under Capra hircus (goat). Its description in RNAcentral is "lncRNA (ENSCHIG00010027023.1)". The record is from RNAcentral. Lineage: Eukaryota; Metazoa; Chordata; Mammalia; Artiodactyla; Bovidae.
UUUCAUGGCUGCAGUCAUCAUCUGCAGUGAUUUUGGAGCCAAAGAAAAUACGAGCCCACCUAUGAAUGGCUACAAAAAAAGAAGAGAGUAACACACCCCUUUCCAAAGGCUGGCUCUUCCUGAAGAUAUUUUGCAAGACUGAAGACCCUCUUUACUUCCUCACUGCCUCUCCCUCUCUAGUCUGCCUUUUGACUUGAAUUCCUCCUUCUUCCCUCUCUUUGGCUCUAUAAAAGAACCUGGCAUCCAGAUCCCAACAAGAUGGUUGCUUUGAGGCGCUAGUCUGCCACCACCUUGGUCAGCUGAUUUUCCUAAUGAAGUCGUUUUCCUGGCCUCCACACCUGUCUCUCGGAUUCAUUUGUCUGUCGUGCAGCGAGCAGAGCAAGCUUGGACUUGGUAACAAAACCAAGGUGUCAGCAGAGAUAAGACUCUCGGGGGUUCUAGGGGAGAAUCCAUUCCUGUUUCUUCUGACCUCUGCAGCCUUCUUCGGUUGUGGCCGCGUCCCUCCAAUGUCUGCCCCUGCGGUCACAUUGCCUUCUCUUCUGUGUGCGUCAAGUCUCCCUCUUAUAAGGACUCGUGUGAUUGCAUGUGGGGCCCACGAGGACAACCAGUGUAAUCUCCCCACCUCAAGACCCUUAAUGACACCAGCAAAAUUCUCCUGCCUCCUUUUUUCUCUGUAUAAGGUGGCACUCACAAGUUCUAGGUGUAGAAAGUGGAAAUCUUCUGGGGGCCAUGGUUCAGCCUACCAUGCUCACCAAGGGGAUAGAAACCCACCCAAGGCUGAGCAGGCCCUCACUGAGCAGUGUGGUUGUGGGGCAGGGAAGGAUGCAUACGUCCCUGAACACUACGAAUUCAGGGAAAGUGUCACAGAGGUCUCUGGCUCAUGGGGGAGCCCUCAUGCCCACAUUUGGGGGUUAUAUUACUAUGAACAGGUGAGAACCAGGUGUAACCACCACCUGUCACCCUCAGAGUCUGUGCUUUCAGCAGACCCACACUCGCCUCCCCAGAGCAGGUUCUCAACCUGAAUCUCAGGUGGCAUGACAGGUUCGGGAAAGGCAUCCCUUCCUCUGGGGUGUCUCUGUGGGGAACUCCAUCUUUUUCUGAUUGAGAUCAGUCAUCCUUCCCUUGCACGCCCACAGCCUGGUAAGUGAGGGGCAGGGGAAGUGGCAGACAAGGGUGUAGUGAUCACUUGGAAAGGUCAGAUGCCAGAUAAAGAAAGGUCAGAUAAGGAAGAAGCUGCACCAAGCUGUCAGGCUCAAAGUUGCGGCGAGUUUUGCUUUUUCUGAUCCCCAGGACCUGCAGAUUCUGCUGCUACCCUCUGUCCCCAAAGAGAUGAUGAAAAAGAAAGGCUGUAAGAAAAUAGUGCUGAAGAAUUGAUACUUUUGAACUGUGGUGUUGGAGAAGACUCUUG